AAGAAAAUACUUUUUGUAUAAAAUAUAUUGUUAUUCUAAUAAGCAAUGCUUGACUAUGUAUAAAAUAAAUUUAUGUAGGUAUCAAUACUUUUAGCUUCGAUUUGUAGGUAAGAAGCUUAUAGUUUUAUUAUAAUGUACUUUUUUUUCUGUUCAUGAAAAUUCUCAGCUCUUACUAAAGUAUUCUAGAGACAAUAAGCUUUCUUUUGGUGUGUUUUGUAUAAAAAUAUAAUUAAUUACCUAAAUACAGGAUAAGUAUAAAGGGAUGACCCACGCAUACCAAUAAAAUUUUUAACUCAAUUUUUGAAAAUGUCACGGACAUCAGUCAACUUUUAACCUAUAUCAAAUUCAAUUCAUAUUUUUAUGUUGAUACAAUAUUAAUAAAACCAGCAUUGUGAAAUUACGGAAUAGUAGGGACGAGUAUAGAUGAUAUAGUGGUUAACAUCACAAUCACAAAAAACGUUUUGAUGCGAAUUUGUACUUAAAUGUCUAUGUACCAAAUAAUAAACUUAAAACUAAAUUAAAGCAAUAUUUGAUAAUAGUUGGGUAGUCGACAGCUGAAAUAAAACAAAAUCUCGUGACUAAGAUGUUACUUCACUAUGUUUAGGAGUAUAACCUUAGAAAAAGCUGUUCCCUAUACCUUAUAAUCUAAAGGAAGAAUAUUUAUGAAGUAUAAAUAAUUAAAUACACGAAACCGUUAAAAUCAGUAUACUUAAGUAAAAUAAUUUGCAAUUAAAAUAAUCAUGGAAUACACAGGCGUCUCGAGACAUUUUAAAAAUAAAAAUCAAGAAUAACAGAGAAUAUAUAACGUAAGGACGUUUUUCUUUGUUCUUCAUAAGUACUUUUAAAAAUUUUUAAUCUGCUAUAAGUUUAAAAAAUGCAUACAUUCUGGAACAUUUUCAAAAAUUGAGUUGAAAAAUAAAUAUUUACAUGUGUAGGUAGUCAAAUUUGAACCCUUCCUGUACUUAAGGUUAUCAUUGAAUUUUCACCAAAGUUAUACCAGAAGAAAGCUUAUUUACUUUAGUAUAUAUUAUUCAAAUUUACUAGGAUAACAAAAAAGUUAUAGAAUUUUUAAAAUGCAGAAAUAAAUUUUGUUUUUUGUUGUUUUCAAAGUCGCGAAUUUUAAGUAAUUUUUAAAAAUUUUAAGAGGUAUUUUCAAUUUUCGAAGGUAAUACCUUCAACCAGAUUAAUUUCAGAUUCUUUUAAUGACGUAUAGGUUAUCAAAAGUAGGAAUGGACCAAGGUUCUGCUUUAAGCUCUUACUUAUUUUCUUUAGUGAUGGAUGACAAUACUAGAGAAAUACAAGGAGAGGUUCCAUGGUGCAUGUUGUUCGCUGACAAUAUAGUGUUAUUAGGAGAAAAUAGGGAGGAAAUUAAUCAAAGGUUAGAGGUUUGGAAAUCAGAUCUUGAAGAAAAGGGUAUAAGAAUAAGUAGGAGUAAUACAGAGUAUAUAGAGUACGAGUUUGAUAAAUUUUUUUUUUUAAUUUUAUAGUACAUGACAUAAGCUUUAAUUUGACAUAUGUUUAAAGGACGCAGUAUUUCCGGAACAUUUUCAAAAAUUAAGUUGAAAAAGUUAGUUUUUGUAAAAAAGUUGCUAUUUUAAAUCCCUCCCAAUGAGCAGGUUAAGUGUUAGAUUUUCAAAAAAAUGAUAUCAAAUGAAAGGGAAAUAUCUAAGGUUUUAGUAUAAAGAAAAAUUAUGUUGAUUUGUUUAUUUUUCAAAAAUUUAUGGAAGUUUUAAGAGAAAAAAGUGAAAAAAAUGACAAAAUUUACCGAUUUUUAAAUUUGUAAUUUUUUUGGAUAUCUCCCCCAUUUGCGGGGAACGAGGGAAAAAUCUUCAAUUUUUGAGGGUAAUGUCUUCAACUAGAUACGAUUUGUGAUCUUUUGAUGUAUCGUUGAAAGAAAUCGGUCCAGUGAGAGCUGAGAAAAAGUGGCAACAGAUACAAAAAAAAACACAUCAUGGUAAAAUUAAUACCUUCUCAGCUUCGCAUCGAGGCUAAAACAAAAUUAAACAGAAAACAAAAACAUUUUGAUAAUUCGUUUAAAUUUACAAUAGAUUUUUGAAAAAUAUAACUACGAGCAAAUCAGUAUUUAUCAUUUUAAUAACUAUGUGAAGGAAAUCCUCACAUAUGUGAGCUAAAUUGCUGAAUUAAUGUUAGCGUGGGUAGUGGAGUAGUUAAUCUCUUCACUACUUUAUGUUCUAAAAGCUAUCUUAAUCCCCACACAAAAUUACUAUAUACUCCACUGCUUCAAACAUCUUAUAUAUUUUUAUUUUUUCAAUUUUUGUAAAUGUUAUAAUCAGCUAGACAGUAAUGACUAAUAAGUUAAAAAUUAAAAUACUUAUUUAAAUUUGUAGUAAUAAUAUACUUUCUACAUAGAUACAUCAAUAAAAUAAAAUUUAGCACAGUGGGGUUACAGUAUAGUUUAGAUAAAUUUAGAUAAUAUCUGUAAGUGAUUAACUUCAUUAUCAUAAAGAAUUCUUCCAUGUCAAUCUUUUAAAUUU
Daktulosphaira vitifoliae (grape phylloxera) is the source of this 2495-nucleotide long non-coding RNA. RefSeq lists it as uncharacterized. The transcript has 3 exons. NCBI's taxonomy places the organism in Eukaryota, Metazoa, Arthropoda, Insecta, Hemiptera, Phylloxeridae. The record is from RefSeq and is a predicted model, not a curated record.